This is a long non-coding RNA of Varroa destructor (honeybee mite), 474 nucleotides long. RefSeq lists it as uncharacterized. The record is from RefSeq and is a predicted model, not a curated record. Lineage: Eukaryota; Metazoa; Arthropoda; Arachnida; Mesostigmata; Varroidae.
CUUAGCUUCAACAACAAGCACAAGCCUGAUCAACGAUUGCGAUUAAGCGACAGAAACAAUAUCUUCAACUAGCCAUGCUCAAGUUAUCCUUCGUUUUCGUAUUAGUUCUGGCACUGCUUGUCGCAAUGUUUGGGGCUCCGGCAACCUGCCAGUAUGUCUAUUCUGGAUACCCAUACGGGCAUGCCUAUGGUUACCCAUAUGCUGCAUACAGUAAUUAUGGCUACCUUCCAUACGGAUAUUACGCUUCACCGGCGUACCUUCUCAAGAAGUAGCGCCUCUUCUCAACGUUUGACAGCUACCAUGAUAUCCCGACGCUAACCAGCUCGAGAAUAGCUUGACGUCAAUGUUACUUACUUAUUGAUUCCCGCUACUUAAAAUGCUAAUGGUGCCCAACUUUCCUCGCAUCACAUAUUUUAAAAUGUACUGAUAAGCAAAUUUAACCAUUGAAAUAAACAAACAGGAUCAAACAUGUUA